RNAcentral lists this ribosomal RNA (445 nucleotides) under uncultured bacterium. RNAcentral's name for it is "bacterial SSU rRNA". It matches the Rfam family "Bacterial small subunit ribosomal RNA", at positions 354 to 796 of the family's 1533-position model. The record is from RNAcentral.
GUAAGGAAUAUUGGACAAUGGACGCAAGUCUGAUCCAGCCAUGCCGCGUGAAGGAUUAAGGUCCUCUGGAUUGUAAACUUCUUUUAUAAGGGACGAAAAAAGGCUUUUCUAAGUCGUCUGACGGUACCUUAUGAAUAAGCACCGGCUAACUCCGUGCCAGCAGCCGCGGUAAUACGGAGGGUGCAAGCGUUAUCCGGAUUCACUGGGUUUAAAGGGUGCGUAGGCGGGCAGGUAAUUCAGUGGUGAAAUCCUAGAGCUUAACUCUAGAACUGCCAUUGAUACUAUCUGUCUUGAAUAUUGUGGAGGUAAGCGGAAUAUGUCAUGUAGCGGUGAAAUGCUUAGAUAUGACAUAGAACACCUAUUGCGAAGGCAGCUUACUACGCAUAUAUUGACGCUGAGGCACGAAAGCGUGGGGAUCAAACAGGAUUAGAAACCCUAGUAGUCC